Molecule: ribosomal RNA, 468 nt
Filed under: uncultured bacterium
Lineage: Bacteria
Description: partial 16S ribosomal RNA
Rfam family: Bacterial small subunit ribosomal RNA
Source: RNAcentral
GACGAACGCUGGCGGCGUGCUUAACACAUGCAAGUCGAACGGAAAGGCCCUGCUUUUGUGGGGUGCUCGAGUGGCGAACGGGUGAGUAACACGUGAGUAACCUGCCCUUGACUUUGGGAUAACUUCAGGAAACUGGGGCUAAUACCGGAUAGGAGCUCCUGCUGCAUGGUGGGGGUUGGAAAGUUUCGGCGGUUGGGGAUGGACUCGCGGCUUAUCAGCUUGGUGGUGGGGUAGUGGCUUACCCAGGCUUUGACGGGUAGCCGGCCUGAGAGGGUGACCGGCCACACUGGGACUGAGAUACGGCCCAGACUACUACGGGAGGCAGCAGUGGGGAAGAGUGCACAAUGGGAGGAAGCCUGAUGCAGCAACGCCGCGUGGGGGAUGACGGCAUUCGGGUUGUAAACCGAUUUCGCCUGUGACGAAGCGUGAGUGACGGUAAUGGGUAAAGAAGCACCGACUAACUACGUG